Nothoprocta perdicaria is the source of this 267-nucleotide unclassified non-coding RNA. NCBI's taxonomy places the organism in Eukaryota, Metazoa, Chordata, Aves, Tinamiformes, Tinamidae. The record is from Ensembl.
GUUAAAAGCUAGGGCUAGGACUUGGAGGAUGUGUAGGCAAACGGAAGGAGAGCCGGGGGAAGAAAAACCGAAAUGGAUUCAUUCUCUGUCCUGGAUGGAGGAGGAGAGGAGAAGAAGGGGACGUGCGAGCUUCCUUCAACUGCCUCUGUCCGGUGCAAAGUGAUGAAACCCCGGGGUCUCCUCAGGGCUCCGGAGUCCGCGCGGACUUUCGCUUUAAGCUGCCAAUCAAAGCGCUAACUAGACACCACCCUGCUCUGGCACGGACAU